AUGGUAGACAAAGAGGAGGGUGUCACUGAGGCUUUGAUGGUGGCCAUACCAAAGUCCUUCGGCUUCCUAAGAUGUAGAUGGGUAUGGGCCUUGAAUUCCUCAGGCUAUGGGACCCAGAACAUUCGACUGAGCCAGGAUGCUGUGAAGGACUUUGACUGCUGCUGUCUCUCUCUGCAGCCCUGCCAUGACCCUGUGGUCACACUAGAUGGCUACCUGUAUGAAAGGGAAGCAAUCCUGGAAUACAUCCUACACCAGAAGAAAGAGAUUGCCUGGCAGAUGAAGGCCUAUGAGAAGCAGCGAGGAGCCCAGAGAGAGAAGUGCAGAAAGAGCUUCAGCGAGCUGCAGUACAGGACCAAGUUUGAGGCUUCCUUGAGAAGGAGGCAACCAGUGUGAUCAGACCCCCAACUCCUUCGUGCCCAAGGCCACCACCUUGCCCAACACAGACAGUGAACAGCCAGGGCCCAGUGUGGGUCCCCUAGGCAAGGACAAGAACAAAGCACUGCCCAGCUCCUGGAUCUCCUCACUAACACCCGAGGCAAAGGCCACCAAGUUGGAAAACCCAGCCCGCUCCAUGACUUGCCUGAAGUCGACUGCGCAUGUCGAACCUGUGCUUCACACAGCUGGACGAUUCUGUGGACCGCGUGGGGCUCAUCACACGCAGUGAGGACUACGUUUGUGCAGUGACCCGAGACAGUCUGAGCAAUGCCACACUGUGUGCAGUGCCCUCUGGGGCCGUGGUCACCCUGGAGUGUGUCGAGAAACUGAUCCGGAAGGACAUGGUAGACCCCGUGAAUGUGGAUAAACUGACAGAGUUCGAUAUCAUUGUGUUACAGCUGGGCGGCACAGGUUUUGCGUGCUCCGGAGUGAAGCUACAAGCGGAAAUGUCCUGGCUAGUGAUACAGGCCUGA
Molecule: RNA transcript, 908 nt
Organism: Mastomys coucha (southern multimammate mouse)
Lineage: Eukaryota; Metazoa; Chordata; Mammalia; Rodentia; Muridae
Gene name: nitric oxide synthase-interacting protein pseudogene
Exons: 2
Source: RefSeq, a predicted model, not a curated record